GAAGUGCGAUAAGCAAUGCGAAUUGCAGAACCGUGAGUCAUCAGAUUUUUGAACGCAUCUGGCGCCGGCCGGGCCUGCAAGAGCGGGUGACGAAGCCCCAUACGCUCGAGGACCGGACGCGGUGCCGCCGCUGCCUUUCGGGCCCGUCCCCCGCGGACGGGGGACGGUGGCCCAACACACAAGCCGUGCUUGAGGGCAGCAAUGACGCUCGGACAGGCAUGCCCUCCGGAAUACCAGAGGGCGCAAUGUGCGUUCAAAGACUCGAUGAUUCACUGAAUUCUGCAAUUCACAUUAACUAUCGCGUUUCGCUGCGUUCUUCAUCGAUGCGUCCUUGAUAGG
This 339-nucleotide unclassified non-coding RNA is filed under the name uncultured Eurotiales. RNAcentral's name for it is "sequence contains ITS1". The stretch from base 1 to 92 matches the Rfam family "5.8S ribosomal RNA", at positions 50 to 154 of the family's 154-position model. Lineage: Eukaryota; Fungi; Ascomycota; Eurotiomycetes; Eurotiales. The record is from RNAcentral.